AGUCCAGUUGUUUGGAGAUCAUGUUGAUGACUCUGGUAGUAGGCUGAUUGUUUGCUGCCUCUUCAGUCGGUUGGGGUCAUCGGUCGGGAUGGGGUCGAGUCGAUGAGUCCCUUCGAUACUUUCUGAGAUACUCUCAUCGUAUGAGGGCCUCUAUUUCAUCCUUGAGUUGGAUACAUUGCUCGGUAUUGUGACCGUGGCUCCGAUGGAAUCGGCAGUAUUUUCUCCGGUCGCAGCCCUUUGCCUUCAGAGGUGGAGGCCGUUGCAGGUAUUCUGCUCCUUCGAUCUCC
This 287-nucleotide long non-coding RNA is filed under the name Elaeis guineensis (African oil palm). RNAcentral's name for it is "long non-coding RNA (EGUI_LNC001684)". The record is from RNAcentral. Lineage: Eukaryota; Viridiplantae; Streptophyta; Magnoliopsida; Arecales; Arecaceae.